GACGAACGCUGGCGGCGUGCUUAACACAUGCAAGUCGAACGGAAAGGCCCUGCUUUUGUGGGGUGCUCGAGUGGCGAACGGGUGAGUGACACGUGAGUAACCUGCCCUUGACUUUGGGAUAACUUCAGGAAACUGGGGCUAAUACCGGAUAGGAGCUCCUGCUGCAUGGUGGGGGUUGGAAAGUUUCGGCGGUUGGGGAUGGACUCGCGGCUUAUCAGCUUGUUGGUGGGGUAGUGGCUUACCAAGGCUUUGACGGGUAGCCGGCCUGGGAGGGUGACCGGCACCAUUGGGACUGAGAUACGGCCCAGACUCCUACGGGAGGCAGCAGUGGGGAAUAUUGCACAAUGGGCGGAAGCCUGAUGCAGCAACGCCGCGUGCGGGAUGACGGCCUUCGGGUUGUAAACCGCUUUCGCCUGUGACGAAGCGUGAGUGACGGUAAUGGGUAAAGAAGCACCGGCUAACUACGU
This 467-nucleotide ribosomal RNA is filed under the name uncultured bacterium. RNAcentral describes it as "partial 16S ribosomal RNA". It matches the Rfam family "Bacterial small subunit ribosomal RNA", at positions 28 to 506 of the family's 1533-position model. The record is from RNAcentral.